GUGGGUACAAAGAAUCUACUUUAUUCAGCACACUAACCUAAUUUCCGAGACAUGUUACAUACCUGAAACAUGUCUUAAAAAUUAGGGUUUUUCUUGAUUUGUGUGCUGAACAAAAUAGAUUCAUUGUACCCA
This is a microRNA precursor of Medicago truncatula (barrel medic), 132 nucleotides long. It matches the Rfam family "MIR2599 microRNA precursor family". The record is from Rfam. Lineage: Eukaryota; Viridiplantae; Streptophyta; Magnoliopsida; Fabales; Fabaceae.